This 73-nucleotide transfer RNA is filed under the name Fasciola hepatica (liver fluke). Its description in RNAcentral is "tRNA-Thr". The record is from RNAcentral. Lineage: Eukaryota; Metazoa; Platyhelminthes; Trematoda; Plagiorchiida; Fasciolidae.
UGCCCCCGAAGAGAAACGAACUCUUGACCCCUUGUUCACCAGACCAGUGCUCUUACCACUGAGCUACGAGGGC